UACGAAGGGGGCUAGCGUUGCUCGGAAUUACUGGGCGUAAAGCGCACGUAGGCGGACUCUUAAGUCGGUGGUGAAAUCCUGGAGCUCAACUCCAGAACUGCCUUCGAUACUGAGAGUCUUGAGUCCGGGAGAGGUGAGUGGAACUGCGAGUGUAGAGGUGAAAUUCGUAGAUAUUCGCAAGAACACCAGUGGCGAAGGCGGCUCACUGGCCCGGUACUGACGCUGAGACGCGAAAGCGUGGGGAGCGAACAGG
RNAcentral lists this ribosomal RNA (253 nucleotides) under uncultured bacterium. Its description in RNAcentral is "partial 16S ribosomal RNA". It matches the Rfam family "Bacterial small subunit ribosomal RNA", at positions 524 to 776 of the family's 1533-position model. The record is from RNAcentral.